UCCAGGUAAGCGAUUUGGAAUUGUACUUUUAAACGACAGAAUGCACCAGGAAGUGUUGUUUUUUAUUUAGGAAAUUGCUUGAUUAUAUAGAUUUAUUUUAUAAGUUCAAGAAAUCAUGGAUCAAAGAAUUAAAUUUUUUGCCUCGUUUCGAAUGAGAUAUAGCAAUAACCUAGAAUGUGAAAGCUCAACCAAUUUGAUCCUAAACCAAUCACAAGAAAAAAGAUUUCCAAGCUGUAAUAAAAUAUGCAUUUAUGAAAAGCAUUGGAUUUGUUAGCAGUUGGAUUGAUGUAUUAUUUUAUCUGCAGUAUGAAUCCAAAAUAAAUCCUGUUGUGGAUAUGGAAAAAGCGGUUCCUGAAAUAUUAGCGCAAAUUUAAAAAUUAAAUGAUACCACUGAUAGCGUUGCUGUGAACACGGAUAAUCACUACAAGUCUUUCAAACCAGGUAAACAAUUUUUAUUUUUUUGUUAAAUGAUUAUGGUGAUUGUUACUUUAUUUUAUUUUUAGAUAAAAUUGCAAUGCCUGAUCUGUGUUGACAAUAUUAUGAUAAUGAAUCAAUAAAUCAUAUUGAAUUAGCACUUAAUAAAGUUA
This is a non-coding RNA of Hydra vulgaris (swiftwater hydra), 587 nucleotides long. The record is from RefSeq and is a predicted model, not a curated record. NCBI's taxonomy places the organism in Eukaryota, Metazoa, Cnidaria, Hydrozoa, Anthoathecata, Hydridae.